GCCGGAGUGGCGGAACAGGCAGACGCAAGGGACUUAAAAUCCCUCGGAGGGUUACCUCCGUACCGGUUCAAGUCCGGUCUCCGGCA
This 86-nucleotide transfer RNA is filed under the name Desulfotomaculum copahuensis. It matches the Rfam family "tRNA". Rfam says of the family: Transfer RNA (tRNA) molecules are approximately 80 nucleotides in length. Their secondary structure includes four short double-helical elements and three loops (D, anti-codon, and T loops). Further hydrogen bonds mediate the characteristic L-shaped molecular structure. tRNAs have two regions of fundamental functional importance: the anti-codon, which is responsible for specific mRNA codon recognition, and the 3' end, to which the tRNAs corresponding amino acid is attached (by aminoacyl-tRNA synthetases). tRNAs cope with the degeneracy of the genetic code in two manners: having more than one tRNA (with a specific anti-codon) for a particular amino acid; and 'wobble' base-pairing, i.e. permitting non-standard base-pairing at the 3rd anti-codon position. The record is from Rfam by way of RNAcentral. Lineage: Bacteria; Bacillati; Bacillota; Clostridia; Eubacteriales; Desulfotomaculaceae.